GAUAGAGCACCAGAUUCCUAAUCUGGGGGCCACAGGUUCGAAUCCUGUCGGGCGCACCA
This 59-nucleotide transfer RNA is filed under the name Thalassospira sp. RNAcentral describes it as "tRNA-Ser". It matches the Rfam family "tRNA", at positions 17 to 71 of the family's 71-position model. Rfam says of the family: Transfer RNA (tRNA) molecules are approximately 80 nucleotides in length. Their secondary structure includes four short double-helical elements and three loops (D, anti-codon, and T loops). The record is from RNAcentral. Lineage: Bacteria; Pseudomonadati; Pseudomonadota; Alphaproteobacteria; Rhodospirillales; Thalassospiraceae.